This 2093-nucleotide long non-coding RNA is filed under the name Crocodylus porosus (Australian saltwater crocodile). Its description in RNAcentral is "lncRNA (ENSCPRG00005003560.1)". Lineage: Eukaryota; Metazoa; Chordata; Crocodylia; Crocodylidae. The record is from RNAcentral.
AUGCCACUGUACUCAUGUGCUUGCAGGAGCCAUCAUACUGUGUGUUUUGUUCUAGCCUGUCCCAUGCUUUCUCUUCCUGCUGCUGUUGGGAGCCAAGCUGAGGUCCUGCAUUCCUUUCUACCAAGGAGAGAGGAAGGUGACUCCAAGACUGGUUUGAUGACAGUGAUGUGGCAAACAGGUUCCAUACAUUCUGUGUCAAGGACAGCAUUUUAUAGACCACUGUUGGAUGUGAUGCCACUGGUCAAAGUCAGACAUGAAGAUACUGGUCAUGGAUUGCAAAGACAUAAAGCAGCAGUGAGUGGGCCCAACACUUCUAAUAUCUGCUCCAUAUUGACACAGGUGCCAGUGGAAAUGCAAUGAGUUUUGACAAGCAGCCAUCUACAUACAAGAUUAACACUUCAGCAGCACCUAUGAAGAUGCACAAGACAGAAUACACACUUCAUAGUAGUAGAAUACAACCCUCUUCCUACCAAAACUCUAUGGAGAAAGCUUUGUUCUAGCUCUGACAUUUCUUAUAUUCAGUAUGGAAUUAAUCACCGGAUAAAAACCAUCUUUUCCAGUCUGCAACUUUUUCUCCACAAUGAGCUAAUAUAUAUAUGUAUCCCACGCAAUCCAGCAGGCUCUGGCACUGGGCUAAAAGCAGUCACAUAUUACAAGCUAAAACAAGCAAUUCAGUAGGUUAGAAAGACAUAUCCAAAGCAUGCAGUUUCCUCAAAGUAGAUACCUAAGCAUCCCUGAUAAUGUGUCCUUGGUGAUUAUUAUUCAAGUGCGUCAGCAUGUGCUUUAUACUUGCCUUGCUCUACCUAACACCUUUGAAAAUGGUGUUAGGUAGAACACUUCCCAUUUUUCCCAUGAACACUUCCCAUUUAACAAGUCCAGUAUCUUCAGUGGGAGUUUUGUCUUCAUAAGGACUAAGUAAAGAGCACAGAUUCAGAUCUAAAUUUAUAUUAUAUAGAGCUACUGAGAAUACUCUAGAAAAACCCAGUUAGAGAUAGGCACAGAGUUUUAAAAUCCCUGUGGUCUAAUCAAGAAGUAUCUUCUGUAAAAUUAGACCAUCCAUGUUUCAAUUUUAGUUUAAUGAAGUUCCUGGUGUCCCCUGUUAUACUAUCUGCUGGUAGUCACAAAACCUAUAACAAAUGGCUGGGUUUUAACCUGGGCUACGUCAGAACAAGAAACUCAGAUUCAAGGUGUUAAGUCAGAACAAGAAACAGGAAAACAAACCCACUUAAGGAAUUUCCCGCUAACUGACACCCCUUCUAGACUUAAAGUAGCCAGUCCUAUCCUUACUGCCUGCUGGUGCACGUGUGCAUGUGUGGUGUCACAGCUGCUGCUGGACAAGGAUUCAAGCCAUGGAAAGUUUCCUCAGCUAGCAGCAGAGGUGACGUUUGCUCUUAACUGUUGCACCCUCCUCUCUUAGCUUCCCCUGCCUUGAGUUUGUCAAUAGACUCUUAAAAUUGCGCCCAAUGCCCCUGGAAGCUGUUAUUGUAAUCCUUCAAUGGUAACUGAGCAAUUUUGUUGCACCAUGAAAUAUUGCGCUAAUUGGCUUCACAUGCAAAGGGUGGGCUAUCAGUAGGGGGGAAAAAAAGCAGCAUGCAAAUUCAUGCUGCCAGUGCUUGCCAGCUGGGGAAGGUUGAACUGGCCAGGAUUAGGGGGAAAAAUGCCACCUACACAGUGGUGGUGGCAUCAUCCUUGGCAACCUCUUAGGUCUAUCAACAGUUUUGAGCUGUUUUGUGCUCUUCUCAUUCAAAAUACUCCAAUAUUCCAUACUAUAUCCUGGGAAUUGUCCACUUCAAUCCCUGUCAGGUUACUCAUAUCCACUACUUCCUUCCACCUUACAUUCUGUUUUGACUCUGCUUGUCUCUGCCAUUGAAGCAGUAGAUAAAAUAUCUGUGGUACUGUACUUCUUCACAUUAAUUAUGCUUCAUGAAUUCUGCUACUUCUAUGCUUAAUGUAAUAUCACACAUGAGUCCAAAUCUAAAACCCCCAAACUGAGCAGGGUCUUGAUGACUGAUACCCAUAUGUGCUGUGGGGAAAUCAAAACUCUAAGUUUGUGUAAUAAUAAACACUAAUAAAAAGAAAUCUAAGUACCCUAC